GACGAACGCUGGCGGCGUGCUUAACACAUGCAAGUCGAACGGAAAGGCCCCCUUGUGGGGUACUCGAGUGGCGAACGGGUGAGUAACACGUGAGUAACCUACCCUUGACUUUGGGAUAACUUCAGGAAACUGGGGCUAAUACCGGAUAGGAGCUCCUGCUGCAUGGUGGGGGUUGGAAAGUUUCGGCGGUUGGGGAUGGACUCGCGGCUUAUCAGCUUGUUGGUGGGGUAGGGGCUCACCAAGGCUUUGACGGGUAGCCGGCCUGAGAGGGUGACCGGCCACAUUGGGACUGAGAUACGGCCCAGACUCCUACGGGAGGCAGCAGUGGGGAAUAUUGCACAAUGGGCGGAAGCCUGAUGCAGCAACGCCGCGUGCGGGAUGACGGCCUUCGGGUUGUAAACCGCUUUCGCCUGUGACGAAGCGUGAGUGACGGUAAUGGGUAAAGAAGCACCGGCUAACUACGUG
Molecule: ribosomal RNA, 465 nt
Filed under: uncultured bacterium
Lineage: Bacteria
Description: partial 16S ribosomal RNA
Rfam family: Bacterial small subunit ribosomal RNA
Source: RNAcentral